AUACGGAGGGUCCGAGCGUUAUCCGGAAUCAUUGGGUUUAAAGGGUCCGUAGGCGGGAAUCUAAGUCAGUGGUGAAAUCUUGCAGCUCAACUGUAAAAUUGCCAUUGAUACUGGAUUUCUUGAAUUAGUGUGAAGUGGUUAGAAUGUGUAGCGUAGCGGUGAAAUGCAUAGAUAUUACACAGAAUACCAAUUGCGAAGGCAGAUCACUAACACUAUAUUGACGCUGAGGGACGAAAGCGUGGGGAGCGAACAGGAUUAGAAACCCCGGUAGUCC
This 274-nucleotide ribosomal RNA is filed under the name uncultured bacterium. Its description in RNAcentral is "partial 16S ribosomal RNA". It matches the Rfam family "Bacterial small subunit ribosomal RNA", at positions 523 to 796 of the family's 1533-position model. The record is from RNAcentral.